This 63-nucleotide transfer RNA is filed under the name Jellisonia amadoi. RNAcentral's name for it is "tRNA-Gly". It matches the Rfam family "tRNA". Rfam says of the family: Transfer RNA (tRNA) molecules are approximately 80 nucleotides in length. Their secondary structure includes four short double-helical elements and three loops (D, anti-codon, and T loops). Lineage: Eukaryota; Metazoa; Arthropoda; Insecta; Siphonaptera; Ceratophyllidae. The record is from RNAcentral.
AUUUAUAUAGUAUAAUUAGUAUACAUGACUUCCAAUCAUGAGGUUUAAUUUUUAAUAUAAAUA